UGCGAGGUAGCUCAGCCUGGUAGAGCGCUGGUCUCAUAAGCCAGAUGUCGUGAGUUCGAAUCUCACCCUUCGCAACCA
RNAcentral lists this transfer RNA (78 nucleotides) under Pseudomonadales bacterium. RNAcentral's name for it is "tRNA-Met". It matches the Rfam family "tRNA". From Rfam's summary of the family: Transfer RNA (tRNA) molecules are approximately 80 nucleotides in length. Lineage: Bacteria; Pseudomonadati; Pseudomonadota; Gammaproteobacteria; Pseudomonadales. RNAcentral also lists the same sequence under 1 other name. The record is from RNAcentral.